GACGAACGCUGGCGGCGUGCUUAACACAUGCAAGUCGAACGGAAAGGCCCUGCUUUUGUGGUGUGCUCGAGUGGCGAACGGGUGAGUAACACGUGAGUAACCUGCCCUUGACUUUGGGAUAACUUCAGGAAACUGGGGCUAAUACCGGAUAGGAGCUCCUGCUGCAUGGUGGGGGUUGGAAAGUUUCGGCGGUUGGGGAUGGACUCGCGGCUUAUCAGCUUGUUGGUGGGGUAGUGGCUUACCAAGGCUUUGACGGGUAGCCGGCCUGAGAGGGUGACCGGCCACAUUGGGACUGAGAUACGGCCCAGACUGCUACGGGAGGCAGCAGUGGGGAAUAUUGCACAAUGGGCGGAAGCCUGAUGCAGCAACGCCGCGUGCGGGAUGACGGCCUUCGGGUUGUAAACCGCUUUCGCCUGUGACGAAGCGUGAGUGACGGUAAUGGGUAAAGAAGCACCGGCUAACUACGUG
Molecule: ribosomal RNA, 468 nt
Filed under: uncultured bacterium
Lineage: Bacteria
Description: partial 16S ribosomal RNA
Rfam family: Bacterial small subunit ribosomal RNA
Source: RNAcentral